AUAUGAUGAGUGAUAAUUUCAUUAGUCAACAAGCACCAGGCCUUUGGGUCUACAAUGAUUAUUGAGUUAAUGGACUCAUUAUCAAACACCUUAAUGGGAGGCUAUGACUCAGUUAUCUCCAUAACUUUAUCAUUUUAAGGACCUAAUAAUUUUAGAGGAUUUAAAAUUAUUAGUGAUUUAAGGAUAGAAAAGACAUGGAUCAAUUUGCUCCCACUGACUUCAUCAAGUCAAGUCCUCCCACUGACUUCUCAAGUCAUUAACAAGGACUAGGAUCAAAUUUGGUCCAUGGGCACCU
RNAcentral lists this long non-coding RNA (295 nucleotides) under Elaeis guineensis (African oil palm). RNAcentral describes it as "long non-coding RNA (EGUI_LNC047297)". The record is from RNAcentral. Lineage: Eukaryota; Viridiplantae; Streptophyta; Magnoliopsida; Arecales; Arecaceae.